Long non-coding RNA from Mirounga angustirostris (Northern elephant seal), 43332 nucleotides. RefSeq lists it as uncharacterized. The record is from RefSeq and is a predicted model, not a curated record. The transcript is spliced from 2 exons. Lineage: Eukaryota; Metazoa; Chordata; Mammalia; Carnivora; Phocidae.
GUUGGGGGAUGGGGAAAGGUCUGUUGGUUGUAAUUUUGGAUAGGGGAAAUUCUUUAGUUCAUGCUGCAGCAGGAGGGUGAACAGAGCCCCCAGUGUUUAGGCAGAGAAAAGAAUGCAGGGUCCUCUUCCAGCUGUUCCAUGUUAAAGCUGCCAGGCUGCAAGACUCAGCAGAGGUCUGGGCUGCCAUUUGAUGACACGGUCCAGUCCAGGGCGGCAGGGCCUGGGAGACACUAAAGUGAGUGCGUGUGAGUUGGUCCGGGGGUUGUGGGUUAUUGUUAAGCUGUUUAAAGUGAGUGCGUGUGCCUUCAGGGCAGCAAGAGGAGAGCAGGCCUCCUCCUUACUCCUCCUCCCCGGUGUGGUGCUCUUGAGGCUGAAAACCCUUGGAUGGGAUGUUUCCAUAUAUAGAAUCAUAGGCUGGAAGUCAGCCGGGAAAUCCUUACAGCCCUUUUCCUGACCAGACAGGACCGAACCCAGAGGUCCCUGUGCUGCCAAGUGUGGAAGGCCACACUGAGAGAGAUCACACAGGCCCCACUGGGAUUCAGCCCGAGCCCAAACAGCCCAUCCGGUUACUCAUAGGGGUGGCAGGGGCAGGGCCCUUUCUGUUCAGUUCCACAUUUAUAAAUAGCUGAAGGGCCAGCCUCCUUCAUAAGGGUGUGGAAGCAUAACUUGGAAAAGCCAUGAUCUACUCUCUUGACUCCUGUCCUUGAUAUGACAGGGUAGCCUGGUUCAGCUGCUUGAUUUUGUUUUCUCAGGUUUGACAAGCAAGGUUAUGUAAACUUUCGUGUGUUAUAGAAUGCAGAGGAUUUCAGUAUAGUAAUUGAUGUUGAAUGCUUGACUUCACUGCUUGUAGGGACUAUUUCAAAUAAUGAUAAUUAAUCUUUAGGCGACUCAAGUGUUAGAGCAACAUUUUUGCCCUUUGAGUUAAAGGAGACUUUUCCCCACGUAGCAACAGUUCAGUAAGUGAAAGCAUUCAGUGUGUGGUGUAAAAAGUUGCUUACUUUAAAAACUUUGCCAUUUAAUAAACCAAGAAAAAAAUGAACUUCUCUGAGUUUUUAAAACUCACUUGGUAAUUCCUCUCCCCACCCCUCCAAAUUUUAUUUUACUACACUUAUUUGUGUAAGCCCACCUGCUCAUGCUGCCAAAUGCUGUAGAGGUACCAAAUCUAGAGCCAUUAUGUAAGACAGGGACCAUUUUCCAGUUUCUGAAUUAAUCAUUCAACCUGGAGAUUUUGCUUCCUUGGAAAACUUUGCACUUGUUUUGUUGUGUGGCCAGGACAGAAAUUGUGUGAUGGCUCAGUUUACUUCUAUAUGGGGAUCAUAAAGAGCAUCAAGAUGUGUCAUGGUCUAUCCAUGUCUGGAAUAUGGCUCUCUCACGUAUCUGGAACCUAGCCAAGAACAAGGAAAGGGGCAGAAAUGCCCACUCAGCAAUCAGAACAGAGGACAGAAAAUGUGGGAGACUACUUCAAACCCUUUCUCAGAACAUACUUACUUUAGACAACAAUCCUAACAUUUUUUUUAAUGUGAAAAAUAAUCCAUAGCAUAUUAGGGGUAGCACCUUUAGAAUGGGAGGAGGGGCUGCUCUAGCCAGCAGUGCAAGGUGACCCCAGACAGCUUGGCAACCGGGAAAGAGAUAGAAACAUUCUAACUUUAGACACAAGAAUUGGGAGCAGAAGCUCUAAAGUUUGGGAAUGUGAGGAUAGGAGCCCUCAACUGAUCUUGCAGGCAUUACUCUGUAAUAAUGUAAAUCAAUGAUUACCGUUUACCAUGAAUGAGAGUGAACUACCAAAAAGGGUACGUUUUUAAAUACACUCUUUGAGAAGAGAGGGAAAUAGGCCAUAAACUUUGACUAUAUUGGCAUUCAAGAUAAUUAACCUCCAAGGCGGUUUUGGUGUGUAAAGCUCUUACCCAUUCAGAAAACUAGGCUGUGUAGAAUGACUCAUUCAUUGGCUGGCUGAGGUUUCCUAUACCAAAAGCAUCAUGUAUCACUUACUUUACUUUGUAAUCAUCAAUUAAAAAACACAUAUUUCUUCUGGUGUUGAGAGAUUUUUAAACCUUGGUGAAUGGGAACCAAAUUCAUAUCUGAGGCAUGAUCUCAGCAUAAUAAAAAAAUUAAUUAGUCAUAGUAUGAACUUGGCUCUGUUUUCUCCAGGACUGACUUUAAAUAGAGAGAGAUAAUUUUUCACAUUAAACAUGGUUUGUUUGAGAUCUGUGGGAUGUAUUUUGAUACUAACAUUUUAGUCUCUUAAAUUUAGCAUUUAUUGAGAAUUUAGUGGUUCACUGGUUUAUCCUUUGCCUCAGGUUCAUGGUCAUCUGAGAUCCAAAAAAAUGGUUGAGUCAAUCCCUAUGGGUGUGUGUGUGUGUGCGUGUGUGUGUGUGUAUGUGUGUGUUUCCCUCUAGAUUUGGUCAAUGGGUAUUGCUAAUGGUCAGCUUUCUAAGUAGAGGCUGAUUUCCAGAACCCUCAAAUCCUAGAUUAGUGCACUUUAGCCACCAGCCCAGAUUAACCUUGAGACUUCUGGCCAGUCUCAGUUUGUAGGUUAGUGUUUCUGAGGCUAAUAGGUCCUUUGAUGCAUAAAAAUGGCAAAAAUGGAACCCACUGACUUUAUUUGCAGUUUCCUAAAGAGAAAUAGGUUGUGUGGCAUUGUUUGUUCAUGACUUUUGUCAUUUGGACUAGAAAUAUGUUUUGCAAUGGAAACAGUGUAACAAAUGAAGGUUCACAAGUACGAUCCAUAAACACAAAACAGUGCAUACUUUCUGGGGCAAUUGUAUAUGUUUGUAGUAAAUAAAUGGCAAAAAGAUUGUUGCUUUACUUAUAAUUUAAAUAUAAGAGAAAAGAUUAUCUGAAAUGGCAGUGCUUGAGACAGAGACAAUUGUGGAAAUUGAAAAAGGACCUCUGUACAUAUUUACUUUCAUUAGAGGGUGAAGAUGAUGAUUCUGUGAUUUUUAUGGUGUUUGGUUUCCAUAGUGUAGGUAUGCUGUACCCUGACUUGCUUUUUUAGAUCACAAAUGGAGUCAAAGGAAAGCAGAAGGAUCGAGAUUUUCCUGAUGAUACUGGAGAAGAUCUUGUGUGUAGUUCCUCCUUUCACUUAUUCAUUCAGCAUUCAUUUUCUGACUGCCUACUGCUCUCCUGCCCCUGUGUAAUGCAGUGGGGAACACAGAGGUACCUUACUAUAUUCCAGAGCUUGGUCCAUAGAUACCCAGUGUUGAGUAAAUGACUAAUACAGUAUCACAGGUGCUGAAGCAUAGAUAUGGGAAUAAAAAGGGGUGGAGGGAGGGCUUCUGGGAGCAUUGUGAACCUAGCAGCUAAUUGUCUGGGGGAGUCAGAGAACAUUUUACUGGGGAGGAGAUAUGUUUGAGUUGAAUUUUGAAAGGUAAAUAGGAGUUGGUUCAAUAUGUCCAAAGGAUUGUAGAGAGUAGGCUUGAAGGCAUUUUUCUUUUUUUUAUUUUGAAGAUUUUAUUUAUUUAUCUGAGAGAGAGAGAGAGCACAAGUAGGCAAAGAGGCAGUCAGAGGGAGAGGGAGAAGCAGGCUCUCCACUAAGCAGGGAGCCCAACGUGGGACUCGAUCCCAGGACAGGACCCUGGGAUCAUGACCUGAGCCGAAGGCAGACGCUUAAUCAACUGAGCCACCCAGACGCUCCAUGAAGGCAUUUUUCAAGCAGAAGGGAUAGCUUUGAUAAAAAUGUUGCCUUGUUAAAGGGUCUGUGCAGGAAAUAGUGAGUUCAGAGUGGCUAGAAGAGUACAGUGAGUUCAGAGUGGCUAGAAGAGUACAGAAUGCUGACCUCUAAGAGGCUGAAGUUAAAACAGAAGCUGUGGGUGUGCGGGAUUUUGCCAGCUAAGGUGUUUGGACUCAGUCCUGCAGAGAUGAUAGAAAACCCAAGAAGGCUUUUAGGAAAGGAGUUAAAAGAUGGAAGGUGUGUGUGUAUGUGUGUGUGUGUGUGUAUUUGUACACUUUUGGGAAAGAGCUUCUAGUAUUUGCAUGAUCCUCUGAGAGGCAAAAAUGGGAGAAGUGAGGUAAAGUUUGGUUCAUUUCAGUUUCCAUUUUGGUCACGUGGUGGCAUCAUCAGCUCCGGGCAGCUUUGUUGCUCUCAGCACUGAUCUGUGGGGGAGAAGAAAGGAUUGAUGUGGAGAAGAAAAGAAGGUAUUGUCCAGAUGACAGGAACUCUUCUAUUCUAAAGGAUUAUCAAGAAGAGAGUGGAGAUGACUUGACCCCCUGAAAAGAUACAAGUCUGCCUCACUCCAUCUUCUGCACGUCAGCUUUCUUCCAUUCUUCAUCAUGUUGGGUCCUAAAAAAAUUCAGUCGUGGCCCACUGUUCCUACGUAACUUGUCAACACUUUUUUUCCCUUCAGUUGGUAAAUGCGAAAAGCAGAAGUCAUUUUGUUGAACAAAAUGUAUAAGGACUUUAUAGCUGAAGUACUUUCCACUUAAGGUGUCAUUUUCUGUAGGUCAGUCCAGCAUGACGGAUGGCAGGUCAUGCACAUUUAUGCCCUCUGUUGUGAAGAACUUGGAUUUGGUUGUUUAGCUUGGGUGCUCAAGGGCUUCAGCAACUGAGUAUGUGUUAUAAACAGGUCCCGUGAAAGUGAGUAAGAGGCAGACAAACUUAACAGCAAUCCAGUUGGUUUGUUUACGUUUCAAUAAACAAAGCAGGGUGAAAUGAGGGUCACAAGGACUUGAGAAGUAGCCAGAAACUUCCCAGUAUAUCCUGCACAGGUGUGAAUCUAAAGAGAAGUGUGACAACACCAGAAAAUACCUCUCUUCCUUGAUCCGAAGAGAAAUUUGGAGGUUUGCAUCUCUGAGUGAACGGCUCUAUAUAACUCACCUGCUAGGAAAGGUGUGGCGCUCUCUUUCUUUUUUAAAUACAGCUAUUGCUUUGAGUUUUAGCCGGUUCCUUCCUUUCCCUUCCUCCUAAUCAUUCCUUCCAAGGCCUUCCUGAGUUCCACCAGUUCUCAUAGAUUAGGAUGCAGAAUCAGAUGUCUCCUCUGAGCUAUUUUUUGAUUCUGUGGAAGCUGCCUGAGGCAGGAAUCUCCCAAAGAAGGCAGAACUUGCAGAAUGAGAGCCGAGCUUUCCCUCUCAGUGAGCUAGUCCGAGGCCAGGGCCUUGUUCUGAAGCCUGUAUUCCAAAAGCUGGCGUAGGCUUUGGGACGCAAUCGCUUGCUUUUAUGCAGGAGCUCGUGACUCUGUGGGAUUCCUAAGCUAGUUGUAGGGAUUUGCUCCCACUCCACAUAGCAACAUUGUAAUACAGUUUUCCUCAUCUUGGUUUACUAGGGAAAAAAAAAUCAAUCAAAUGAUUCAGUGGGUUUUUUUUACACAGUAGGCGAUACCAUCAACUGGUACCUGGCAAAGAGUACUGGGUAAGAAAUCGUGGUACCCAGUUCCUCAUGACAUAUUCAUUCACCAACUACCCGAGCAGAGAGGGAGGUCCAUGUCAAAAGGUGAGUAGGUGUAAUGAUUCUUCUCAAGGAACUCACACUUGAGUUGUGGAGGUAAAACAAACAUCAAUAUAUAUAAUGGUUAGACCAUAACCAGUUACUGAAUACCGGGGUUCCCACGAGAGAACAGACCUGGAGCUGAAUGGAAGGGAGAGAACAGGAUGGGCUGGGUAGUGCAAGAAAUUAUGAGUGGAAGGAGUAAACCUGAAUGUGUCUUUUGAAUAAGCGCUUUAAGGCUCACACACUCCUUGCUUUUGUAGUAUCUCUAACGCAGUUUUAUUAAGGAAACCACACAUAUAGGGGGAUUCUGUGCUUGAGCCAUGAAAGGGGCAGGCUUCCUGGGCCUUUGAAGGAUGAGUAUGAGUACAUUAGAGGUAGGGGAGCAUGAUGCCCGUUGUUCAUCAGGAAUGAAUUCCUGGAUGGAAGGAGUAAUCCAAAUACUUCUGUGAUUUCUAACAUUUAAAGGUAGGAAAAUGAAACACCUGCUCAGCUAAUAUUUUUAUCCCUAAAAUUACCCAUAAAAUUAUGAGACUUAGUAGUAGUUCUCUUGGCUCCUCCUAGCAGGAUACUUUUAUAUGUUACUUGGAUCAGAACACCUGUUCUUUUGAACAGGUGUAGGAAGAGACAAAAGUGACUUGGACUAGUUCUCAAAAUAUAAUGUGCUCACAAAUGGCUUGGGGAUCUUUUUAAACAGAAAGCUCUGAUUGAGGAGGUCUGUGUUUGGGAUAAGGCCCAAGGUGAUGGCUGCAGCUGCUUCAGGUCUGUGGACCACUCUUUGAGUGGGAAGAUCGUAGACUUAUUAGAGGUGGAAGGUUAUUUAGAGGUAAUUGGUGCACUGGCAUUCAAGUGUUAUGGAUGUGUAUCAGAAGAUUUUUGUUUGCUACAAAUGAAACUUCACAUGAAAGCUUAUGGGAAGUGGAUGCCCCUCCCCUUUCCCACCUCCAACCCUAACUCCAAGGAAAGCAGUUUGAAGAUCAUCUCUGUCCAAGCACUGUGAUUUCUUCCCCUGGCUCAGAGGCAUUCGAACCAUCUCUUCCAGCCCGAGAUGAGUCUGGGUUUGAGGAAAGCAGCGCUGGGCUCUGUUGUAGCAUUUCCCUGAGCUUUUUUGAGGUGCCCCUGCUGGAAUUUCUAGGCAUUCUAAUGAUCAGUGUCCCAUGGAAAAUGAGGCUCCAGGAGAGAUUCGUUUUUUGCUGAUGCUAUGGGCUGUAAAGUGGAGCUGGAGAGAGCAGGAGUGUUAAUUCCAGAGACCGGAUGGGAGAGAUCUCUUCCUACUUCCCCAGCGCUCUCCCAUACAGCACAAUCAUCGGAAUUUCUGAGGCAGCUCAUCCUGAUCUGUCAGUAGAAGUCAAGUGUUUGUGUGUGCAGCAUAAAUACAUAGAGAACAUUGACUUUCAUUGUAUACAUUUCUGUGUGAGGAUGUGCGCCCAAUAUGUGAUGGAAAUGUGUGACUAAAAUGGUAAUGCUGAACCCUCCCGAAUUUCUGAAGAGCCGUAAAGGAAUAGGGGAAUCAGGACAACCUCGAGAAAUAACAUUGUCUCUGUUUGUAAAAGAAGAAAGCAGGGAGAAAGUAGGUUCUGUGCAGGGUCCUGUGAAGUUAACACUAAUCUGGUGUCAGAUACCAGAAGAGUAAUUGAAACUUGAUUUGAGAGCCUUUGGAUGAGGAAAUAGGAAGUGGCCUUGUUUUCCUAAGAAGGGAAAGAAUGGGUCGUGGAGAACGAAUGUCAUUUCCUUUUUGAUGGGAGAAGGGGAAAGGAAUCGAGAUAGCAUAGAAGAGACUUCUAUGUUCUGGGCAGAUCACAGGAAUUCUGGUAGCCAUCCCCUAUCUGAAUUUUAGCACAGCCUUUGGCAAAUCCCCUUGUUUCCUGCUGAAUAAAAUGGAGACGUGGAGGCUGGAUCAGAGUCUAGCUAUGUGCCUUCGAGUGGCUUCACUGACAGGCAGGCCUCGCUCCGGCCUCUGUCAGCCUUAAGGGGGGACUCUGGUGCUCUUCCUCAGAGCUCACAUGUUCUAGCUACCUCAUUAUUCGUGUUGACGUGUGACUUAGCCUGGGGUCCCCAAGAAAGCAGAGCCCUAGGCAGGGGCUGGUGUUCAGGUAGUUUAUGGAGAGCACUGAUCCCGGGGACAGGAGAGGGUACUGCAGAGAGAAACGGAAGGAAGGAAAGCCAACACAGGAUUACGUUAUCCACCUUCACCGCCACUGAGCGUGCCUCAGAAGGGAUAGACAGGCGGCAUUUAUCCAUGGCUCCGCUCUCCCCUUGGUCAAGGGCUGCCCCAGGGUACCAUGUUUCUGCACUACCCGGUUUGCACGUUGUGAGUGCUCAGCCUUGUCCAGGGUCCCGCACUGUGGUGUCAGAGAAGCCACAAGGCAGAAAGCUAGAGAGAAGUGGUACAACAGGCACGGUGGUGUCAGGUUAUACCUGCCCAAGGCUGGUGGCUACAGCCAGGACUAGAGUGUAAACCCUGCUGAGAAGGUGCAGUUCUCAAAUGCACAGAUGAACCUCGGGGGAUAGCUGGGGGCCUGAUGACAGAUUCGUGAGCCACAUCCUUGAAUAUAACAGGAUGACUGUUAAAUCGCCGUAAGCAGAGCCCCUACAUUUGUAUCCCCUAGACCCCAGCUGGAAGGGGCACGGCCCCGCAGUAGCGUGCAGGAAAAGGACUUCUGGCUUUUAGUAGACUUAGAGUUUAGAAGGAAUAAUGACAUGAUGCGGUUGCCCCCAAAGCCACUAGACCUUUAAUAAUACAUUAUAUGUAUAAUAUAGUAUAUAAUAAUAUUGUCUUCAGAAAUAGGUCUUCUCUGCCGGCCAGGCUGCCCCUUGAGUCCGGGGAGCAGUUCUGGUGCACACUUUGAGGGAGAUGGACAGGUGAGGAUGUGGCCAGAGGAAAGAGGAUGGUGGGGCCCUUGAAGAACCAGGGGAACAUUUAGGCUGGAGAAAAAGGUACGCAGAGAACGUGACAGCUGUCAUUGGUCCCUUGAAAAUCUGGCUUGGAGUUGAGGGCUUUAAUUCCGUAUCUGUGUAGAGGAUAGUAUAUAGAAGCUGAAGUUCCUUUAGCUCAAAGUAAAGAAGAACUUUAUGAUGGUUAGAGCUCCCAGACAGUGGCUUAAGCUGCCAUAGGAGGCAGUGGCUGGGCUUUCACCAGGGGUGGGCGAGCAUUCAGAACAGUGCUGGGCACCGAAUAAUGCUUCUCAAUAAGACCGGCUCCUGGUUACCGAGUGCCUGCACAUUACUGAAUUCUUUGCAUCCAUUAUCCCAUGUAUGCGUCCCAACAACCCUAUGAAAUGAGAUAGGAACUGUCAUUAUUCCAUUGGUCCUAGAGGAGACAAGCAGUCUGACUUCCAGACUAUUCCACGUGCUUCCUCACUGUAGGGACCCUGUGGGUUUCUUUAAAAAAAGAAACUGUGACCUCUUCGAUGAUCUCCAAAGUCUCUUCUAACCUUAUUCUAUGGCUUAGGUGAAUCAGGAAUAAAGAUAAGAAAACAAAGCUGUUGGGACCAGAGGAGAAAGGGAGAGAGAUAAUGAGUGAAUGAAGAAGGGUGGUCUUAAAAGUCUUCUUCAGAUUCUUUCCGGUGGAUUCCUUCUCUACCUCUUGGCCUGUUGGUGCCCCCGAUUUGUGGCUUUUGUUUAAGAAAUACGUAGAGUGAUUUUCUCUUCUUUUUUGAAGUAGGCAGUGAGGUGAGGUUGGAUCACCAUGAUGAGUAGGGCCACCCUGUUUAAGAAAAGAUGUAACGAACUGAAUUGAUCUCGUUUCUUUAGAGUCAGACAAGAACAGUGAUAAAGCCCUGAGAGUGUCAGUUAUUUAUUAGCAAAGGUAACUCAUAAUUGCGAUCUCUAUCUCCAAAUCUUUUUUUGUUUUUUUCUGUGUGGUUCUAAAAGUGACCAUACGAUAUAUUCUUUGUAGGGUAAUAGCUACCUUUUCUUUCUUUUAAAAAAUUUUUAAAAAGACUUUAUUUAUUUGAGAGAGAGAGAGGUUGAGAGAACAAGUGGGAGGAGGGACAGAGGGAAGAGCUGGCUCUCUGCUAAGCAGGGAGCCUGAUGCGGGGCUCAGUCCCAGGACCCUGAGAUCACGACCUGAGCUGAAGGCAGAGCUUAACUGACUGAGCCACCUGGCGCCCCUCUUUCUUUUUUUAAAAAGCACUUUCUAUGUGUCGGGCACUGUGCAGAUAGCUACACAUAUACACAACUGUUAUCUCCAGUUAUUGAACAGAUGAAUGAUACAAAGAAGCAGAACUAAUGGUUGUAAAAAUUAAAUAUACUAUAUUGUAGUAAUUAGAUAAUGUACUUAUGACCCAGAGUUUAGCACAUAGUAAGUGCUUAUUAACUGGUUUCAAAAUGUAAAUCCACAAAGCAGAUCUUAUCUCCAUUUUCUGGAUGAGGGAGCUUAGGUUGAGAGCGGUUGGAAAGGUAACUAAGGUCCCUGAGUUGUUUCUGAUCCAAAAGCCUGUAUUGAGUCCUCACCACCACCUGAAUGCUGCAGGGCUCUUCCAGUUCUUAGGUAAAUAAAAAUGUUGGCGGUUAAAUGAAAAGUACGUAAGGAUGUUUAAUGAUAAUUUUAAUAGGUUUCUCUCUGACAUUUUAGAAAUCUAAUCUUGGAAGAAUUCUUUUUGGCUUGUCCAUUUUAAUCCUAUGUAGCUUGAUAUGGCUUGGCCUCUUCUUUCCAUUGGCUUUUUUUUUUUUUUUUAAUUAGUGAAAAGCAUCGAUUCAUACAUUUCCCUUUCUUUAAGGAAGACUUGUGGAACGGAGGCUUCUGCCGCCUGUGCAUGAACGGGCAGGACUUGGGGAGGGAAACAGGCUCUGCCGGCUGCGGAGAGGAAAGAAUGAGGAAUGUGUUAUCUAAUAGCUCAUGGCAUCCUUGACGUUGACAAACUAGCAAUUGAUGAGCUGGAUCAGGAUCUCCUUAGGAUCUGGAAUUGGGCAAAGCACCAACUUGAGGGCUCUAAGUUAAAACAAGCUCUCCCAUUGUUUGUAAAUGGUAGAAAAUUUCUGAAGAUUAGUUUAGGAAAACAUAUGUUAACAGUUGGUAUAAGAGUGAAUCCUGCUUAUUUCAUUUUCUAAUAGCCUGAAAUUCAGGAGGUGGGACAGACUUUAUCUAUGGCAGCCCCUCUGUUGAAGAUUUGGAAAGACUGAGGUCAGCUGGGGGUACCUGCCAGUGGGGAAGGUCUGCUGUUACCCUCGGUCACUUUCCGACCGUCGAUGACCUAGACCUCGGUAUCGUGCCAUUUUCCUGUGGCUGCCACGGUCACCCCAUUCAAGGAUUAUUUGAUGCUCUCUUUACCUGAGUGUCAAAGGCUAUUCAUCAGGUUGGUCUCCUCGAAGUCAUGUCCAUAACCCCCUCCUUUUCGUUUCUUUACUCACAGUAAAGCACAGAUUUGUUUUUAUUGGAAGAUGGCUGGUAUUCGUAUUUUGAAAUACCAAAGAGUUACAGUGUAGAAAGGUUUGGCUUUAUUUUAGCAUCAUCACAGUUCCAUAACGUCCUCUUGGGGAAUCUGACUUGGCCACUCUGGAGUCACUCUAAAUCCCAGCAGAAAGCUAAGUGUUGUUCAUGACUGUCCCCAUGCCUACGGGAGGGAUUUCAUUCACUGGUUGGUGAAGCGUUCCUUUGCAUGGUGCUGUGGUGGACCAAGCACAACUCCUCCUGAGGGUGUCCCCCGACCCCUUACGGCUUGCUGGCACCCUGCGGGUACCUCUUUUACCCCACCAGUCACAGGGGGUUGCCAUCAUCCACCUUCCAGGCUAGGCUGCGUCUUCCUCACUUUCCUCCGCCAGCACUUAAUAGUGUGCAUGGCACCUAGGUGGUCUCAGUAUGUGUUUGUUGAAAGAAUGGUGAAUGAGUACAAAGAAAUUGAACUCCUAGCCCUAGUCCACAAGGGGUUUACAUCUUGGUUGUGAGAAAAACCUAACUGCAAAAAGAUUUAAUCAUAAAGUAGGACGUGAUGAUAAUCCCAGUGCUGUUACCAAGAGGUAUGUGAUGAAGACCAGAGGAGAUGAGAGAAAUAGAUGCUGUCACUUUUCAGUCUGUUACAGAAGCCCCGGGUCGGGGUCUUGGCCUCCUUAUUUAGAAGUGUGUCACCUUGUGAACAUUAUUUAAAUUUGGAACUUCCGUUUCCUCAUCUGUGAAUGGAGUUGACCCUCUGAAAGUCACAGGGUUACUACCAGGACGAAGUGGGAUUAUACAUGCAGAUAGGACUUUGUAAUCUGCAUCACAUUAUACAAAUGCAGGCUGGCAUUAUUCUCAAAGGACUCACUGAAACAGUGGGGUACAAAAUUCAGGAAUGUGAGUGUUUAAAAGGUCUAGGGAGAGAUAAGCAUGGCUUCUUUUUCCAGAGCUUUCGCUCACUAGCAAGAUUCUCUUGGUGAACACUGGCCACCUCUGGGCCUGGAAAAACGCCUGACUCUGAUGAUUCGGUCAGGAGUUGGAGCCUCUGACCCGCAGUCCCCACAGCCUGGCCUGGCUGUAACUUGUCCAAGUUCCGUUUGUGUCCACUUUCAUCCUUUUAAUUGAUUAGAUUAUUGGGUGCAUUCUUUAUGAGUAUGAAGGUCUCAGAUGUCAGGGCUAAAGAAUGUCUUUUGGGGAAAACUACCUAAAAUGCUGUGUUGUGACCAUUGCACUUCCGUCUGCAGAUGUCACAGUAUGAGUGUUCAUGAAGUCAUUGAAGGCAUAGGGACUCUAUGCAUAAAUUGGCAGGUCUGGAUUCUUUAAAAAUUUGUGAUAAUUACGGUUUGGGUUUUGUUUUGUUUUGUUUUAUUAUUAAAGAAGUGACUCCUCAUAAAAGUUGUUAUCCAACUUAAAACCAUUUAGUGGGAAACCUUUGCGUAUUUUUGUAUACCUCAGCUAAACAAGAAAAUAAUUAUGCUUGGCUUUUUAUUCUUUAAUAUUACUUCCGCCUUUACCUGUUGCCAAACAAGUGUUAGUUGGAAAAGGAGAAUGGUUUCUUGUCAUUUGUUUUUCACAAAACCUCCCUAUUCUCACAUUUCCUUUUUGUGGCAGAAUGAGCUGUGAUAGCACAUUUUCCGGAUUACUGUGGUACUUGCAGAUGAUCUGAGCACAGUUAAAAUAUCGAAAUUGUGAGCUGUAAGGUCGAACUUGAACCUCCUAUGUGAUUCUGAUAUUUACGCUGCGGGUGGAUUACAUGGAAAUAAUUGUGGUGUGUAUAUUUGAGUUCAUGGUAUUGUAGACAGAAGUAAUUUGGAGGUGAAUCGCUGCUGUUGGUUUUCUUUCAGACUUUCCCCUCUUCUCAUUGAGAGAGGUGAGACUUGCAGAGGUAAAACAGGAAAUGCUUGGAUAUUUUGUUGAACUCCUCGAGAGUUAAAAAAGCAAGUGGUGUUCAUCAGCUAUGGUUUGGUCCUUGGGUGGAGUGGAUAUGGGUGUGUGAAGGCAAGUGAAGGAGGUGCCCCAUGGUCCCCGGUGCUCCCACACCCCCUCUACACACCACCAGCUCAACACCUAGCAUGCUGGGUUGCAAUUGCUGUGUUAGCUGAGGAACUGUUCCAGAGUAAAGGAAACCUACAGAGAGGGGACAGCUAAGUGCAACAUGGGGUUCUGGAUUGGAGCCUAGAUUGGGAAAAAAAACAUUGCCAUAAAGGAUAGUGGGACAAUUGGUGAAAUUUGAAUGUGGACUCUAUCCAUUAUAGAGGAUAAUGGGGAUAAUAUACAAUUUAAAAUUUCCUUAAUAAAACUAUACCUUGGUCACAUCAGAAGAUGUCCUUAUUAUUAGGAGAUGCAUACUGAAGUCUUUUGGGUUAAAGGAACCUGAUGUCUGCAACUCACUCUCAAAGAGUUACAUGUAAGGUGACAAAGAUGAAAAAUUAGUGAAUCCUGGUGAAAUGCAUAGGAGAGUAGAUUUUUUAAAAUAAAAAGUUCAAAAUGUUUACCUUUUUAUAUCAAUAUCCUGCACUGGAACAUUGGCUCCCAGAGGGAAAGGCCUGUGUUUGAAGACCUUUGUGUAGGCUGCCAGAUAAAAUACAGGAUGUCCAGUUAGUUAACUUUGAAUUGCAGAUACCCUAUGAAUCAUGGGGGCAUACUUAGAGCACGUAUAGUGCUAAACAACUCUUUGUGGUGGAUCUGCAAUUCAAAAUUAACUGGGGGUCCUGUAUUUUUAUUUGCUUGCAUCCGGCAACUCUGCCCUAAACGAGCAUUGCCCCUAGUUCCAGCAGGGCGACCUAGGAGGUGCUCCUCUGUUCGGGGAAUGAAUGACGCGUCUUUUCAGAAUUCUGGUUUGUGGCUCCUAUUGGAUAAAACCCAUUGUGUCUGAGCAUGGAGCUGGGAUUUAACCUGUUCUUGGACCUGAUCUCCUCCUUGUCCUUCUCUCUUUGAAUAAUCUUUUCUCUUGGAGCUGCUUCACGCUUUCUCCAUUUCUCUGUCGGUGGUGGAGUCAGCUGGGUUACAUUUUAUACUAAGUUACCCACCUCCUGACACUCCUGACAGUUUUAAGAUCUUCUCCUAACACACUUGAGUAGAAUGGAUACUGGAAUCUAUUUUGACAGCUGUUGGAAAUCCAGGCUGUUGCUACAGCAGGUUAAGGAGGUUAUUUGUAACACUGAUAUUAUUCAGUGAACUUUUUGAAAAGAGGUGCAUGCUGCUCGGGCAAAUAGUAUUUUAUAGAAUUUUAAAUGAUUAUUAUGUUCACAGUUAAAUUAUCAAAUACAAUGGUCUUAGAAAUUAUACGCUUCGUAAUAUUUUCCAUUAAUUUUCCUAGUAAUAGUGUAUUACAAUGCUCUCGAUUACCAGUGCCCCUUAAAAUGCAGAUGUGGAGUCUUUAAAUACAGCUAGUUUAUUGCCAACUGUCCCAUUGAUAACCUUCCCCUUCAAAGCGACCUUUGAGCAAUUUCAUAAAGAAUGAAUAUUUAUAGUAUUUUGUUGUUGAGCUGCUGAAAGAGGGGUCUAUGCAAGUAACAGGUGGCUUCCGUUAGCCUGCUUUCACUGAAAUGUGAUUCAAAUAAAGCACAGCAUUAUUUUACCAUCGGAAUUGUGAUUAAGUGCUAGACUGACUUCAUCUUCGGCAAAUUGUAUUUCAGUGUUGAGGUUUGGGUUUAGGGUGGGGUGUCUUGCAUAUGCGGGAGUUGGAAAGCUUACAGAUAAGACAUAGCAGCUGAGGGAUAAAACAUCCAGGGUCUUCUUUAUGCAGCAGAGGAAUUUUUUUCAGAGGAACUGUUCUACUGGGCUUUAGGCUUAAGGGCAACUGUUCAGAUUAACCCUCUAGACUUGAGUUUUCUUUUAUCUCGGGUCCAAAGCACUGAAGAAGUCUCUGUCAAAUUAAUGAUCAGUACAGUACUUAGCACGUAGUGGGCACUAAAAGUAAAAUUUGUUCGAUGGAAUGAACUAGAUAAUUAUGUUUGGGUUAUUAUUUAACUUUUAAUAUGAUUUAAUUACUCGAAAUAGAAGAUCUUUCCAUUACUGCCCUUUACCCAGUUGCUUGGCAACACAAUUGUUAACAUGUUUUCUGAUUAAAAUAAAUAUCCCAAGCUAAGUUUAUACUAGAUCAGAUUAUAAUAUAGAGAAUUAGAAGCAUUAAAUGGAUGAGAUGGAAUUUGACACAAAAGCUAUUACUGAGAAGUCUAUUUUAUUAAGUGUACUUUCUCCUGUGUCUGAAAAGAUUUAUCAAAUUGUGCAAAUCAGAUCCUAGCAAAUUGGGUAGAAGAGUUCUUAAAAAGACAACAUUCUUGGAAGAAUUGCGUUUCUAUGACAGAAAAAUUGAAAAAGGGAGAAAAUCACAUAAAUAGCACCUAUGAUCCUGUUUUUCCUUUUAUUGAAUUCAUUUCGUCUUCUUUCCUAGCACAAAUACACAAAUAAAUUUGUUUACACACAUACACAAAAUUAGGACCACAUGAACAUAUUGCAGUAUCUAUGUGUUUAUGUGCUGUUCUGUGAAAAAAUCUAUUUAAACUAUCUGUUUAAACUGAAUAUGUCAUUCGUAUAUUACUGCAUCACCAUGGAUUUUCUCACAACAAUAUUUUUAGUGACUGUAUAGCAUUUCACGGUAUGGUUGUGCCUUCCAUGGUCAUUUAGGUUAUUUCCAGUUGCUUGCAAUUCUGUGAUAAACAUCCUUUAAAACAUGGUUAUUACUUUGCAUCUCUGCCUAUAAGUGCAAUUUCUGGUCACACACUCUUAAAAUUUUGUAUGUAGUGUGUUAACCAUAUCAUCCUUCUGAAAGUUUGGCCCAAUGAACGUUCCUAUGAACAUUUAAGUACUGACUUCCGUACACUUUUUUCUACAAUGGCUAUCACUAAAAACAAACAAAAGACAUCUUUUUGAUAGGCUCUUAUUAUUUUCAGGUGCAUUUCUUUGAUGGUACUUUUCUCUAUAUUUAUGGUCCAGUUGUGGUUUUUAUUCUCUGUCUCCUUUUCCUUGGGGGCAUCUGUUUUUACUUUCUAAUUUAUGAACACUCUUUCUUAUAUAUGUUUUUUUUCCUUUCCAUUCUUAUAGUGUGACUUUGCUGGGAAGUGUUAAAUUUUGAUGCAGCCUGUUGGUAGGAAAACGAUUUUUGAGAGCAAGUGAUAUUUCUAUCAAAAGCUUAUUUUUCUCCCCCUGUGCGGUGUCAUUUAGUUUUCCAGAAGGAAGGAAGAAGUAACUGCUCAGUUUUACUUUAAUCCUCUCAGGAAGGUUUUAAGUUAUUAAAAUGUAUACAGCUUAUAUAUUAAGAAUCAAGACAUUUCUGUAUUUGCAUUGUCUGAACAGCAUGUCAAAGAGCUCAAAUUAGUACUUUAUCCUGGAAAGUUCUCAUUUUAGAGUUUGGUCUGUUUUAUGCCAACUUAAGACACAUUAGAGGUGGGACAAAGGUUAAAAUGGAUCAAUGAUUUAUUGUGUGUGAAAUUUUCUAAAGACAGACUAAUUUAUGUACUCAUCUAUCAGGAAUGCCUACAGAUGUAUAGAAACAAUGACAGCUACGGGCCUAUCAAAACUGAUGGUUUUCUGAUUCAUAGAGAGACCUGCUGGGUCAAAAAGCCUCAUUUCUUCACUCCAAUGUGUGGGAAACUUAUAGUCAUAUGUAGUAUGGAUACUUAUGUUGGAUUUUCCAUGUAGAUAUUUUCCUGGUCUAUUCUGCAUCAAACUUAUUUUACCAAUUUAAGUAGCAAGACUCAACUGUAAGCAAAUUUAUUUGAGGCCAAAUGAUAUUAACAUCAAUUAGAGCCAGUGAUUCUCAGUAUGGGAAGGACAUAUGUCUUUCCAGGCGGUAAUAAGGUGGUUUGUGUCAUUCAUUUAUUCAAAAUUUUUAUUUUGUGUCUAUUCAGAACUAUGUUUUUUAUGGGAAGGAACACAUACCAUGUUAGAAGAUGAAGAUACAGCUGUAUGCAAGGCAUAGCAUUUCCCUUCAUUUGAAAACAAAUUCCAUUCCUUUGAUUUUGUUUUAAUCAUGAUAUAUCUUAACUUCAGUUUUCAAAUAAGACAGGAGUUCCCUCUGAUUGCUCUUUCCCUAGAUGUCUGCACAAAUCACUUCUUUACAUCCUUCGGGUCUUUAUAUUCUCCUCAGAGAAGCCUUUCUAACCACCUUCUUUAAACCCCUUACCCUGAUUUACUUAAGGCAUCAUGUUCAUCACUGUAAGAUGUAUUACAUUACUUAUCUGUUUGUCAUCCGAACGCCCCCCCCACUAGAAUGUAAAGCCCAUGAAAGAAGGGUGUUGUUAGUUUUGUUGACUUUCUUUCCCCAGCAUCAGAAAGAGAACAUCAAAUAUUGCAGGCAUGCAAAUAAGUAUUUGUUGAAUGAAUUAUUUCACUGAAUAUUUCCGUGCCUGUGGUGUGGUUGACACUGUGGGUGGUGGAAAGUGCUAUGACGAAAAAUAAAGCAGGUUAAGGAGACAGAGAGUUCUUAAAAAUGUCUAUUUGAAAAGGGCCUGGGUUAUAAAAGGUGGGAAGACACGGGUAAGGCCAGUUUAUCUUCCCUUUUCUUUCUCCUGAGUGUCUUUGAGUCGUCCCCUUUCCUCUCUCCUAGCCACAUCAUGGCCACUCCGUCAGUCCUGCUGAGUCUCUCGAAGGAGUCACACCACAUUCUUUUCAUGCCUCACUCCAAGCUGACCUUCCCACUUGAAUGGCAUGAAAACCCAAAUGUGGUCAACUCUUGAACAUUGUACUUCCCAGACUCCCAGGCGACAGGGUUUGUAGUAGCUAGCUCCUUCCGGAAGUCACCAAAGGCUACCUUAGGGGUUGAUAGAUAGUCAAGUGUUAGUAGGCAUUCACAGAUACUUUUAUUACAGUUUUCAUUUUCUGUUCACAUGAUUCUGAACUUAAUUUCUUUGACAGAUGCAUCGUAGAUGCAUCUCUUUCACUCGGUUGUGUAACUUGUCAUUCAAAUCUUCCAAGAUCUCAGUUUCUUUUUUUUUUUUUAAAGAUUUUAUUUAUUUAUUUGAGAGAGAGAGAACAAGAGAGAGCACAUGAGAGGGGGGAGGGUCAGAGGGAGAAGCAGACUCCCUGCCGAGCAGGAAGCCUGAUGCGGGACUCGAUCCAGGGACUCCAGGAUCAUGACCUGAGCCGAAGGCAGUCGCUUAACCAACUGAGCCACCCAGGCGCCCUCAGUUAGUUUCUUUGAAAGGCAGAAGGGUAACACCCCAGAGAGAAUGGAUGAGGGGCUGUUUUUUUGGUUAUCGCCGUGACUGGAUUUUUAGCACCUGAUGAUAGGAUACCCAGCAUCCUACAAUGCAGGAGAGAGCCAUGCCCAAGAGAAAUUGUCCUGCCUAGAAUGCCAGUGGUACCCCCAGCAAGAAAUGCUGAUUCUGUCCCAGUGGUUCUCAGCAAUACUGGUUGUGGUCUCAGCGGGGUACUUCAGAAAUUUGUGGGAUGUUGUUGGUUUUCACAACAUUAAGGCGUGAUUUACUAGUGGCAUUUAAUGGGCGAUGAUGCUAGAAGCCCUGCAGUGCACAGGGCAGUCGCCCACACCGGAGAAUUGCCCCAUUGGCAUUCAGAUGUCCACCAGGCAAGAGACGUGAAAAGCCCCAUUGAUGAUUAUCAGAGCCUACAGCCAACUGUGUAAGCAAAAGGUGUUUUUUGGCACAAUUUAAGUAGAUGGAAGUGCGUAUUCUGUUUGCUUUGAGACUUUGCCAAGAGUUGCUUCCCGUGUUGGCACCAUGACCUGUGGUUUGUAAUUGGCAUAUACGUCUGCCUGUGUAGCUUUGCCUCGUGAUGGUUGCAGAGGGGCAAGGAUCUGACCACUUCGUUAUGUCUUCUAAAGAUCUCGUGCCUGAAAGUGUACAUAUCAUCAUUAUGUGUGUUACAGUUAUAAAUUAUUUUCCUUUUAUUUCUUUUUUAUAUCAUAGGUAGGCCAUAACAUUGAUUUCUUAGAAUUAUGUGUAGCUUAGAUUAUAUUAUCUGUGAUUUUCAUUACAAGAUUACAAAAGGGGCAUGGAGUCUGAUGAGGCUGAAAUCCUUCAUUCUAACCUGAUUUGGCAGCUCCAUUUCUCACUAGUCUAUAUGAACCCUGUUUCAGCCAAAAUGAUUUGCUGUGUGUUCCACAUUUUCUCUUGCCCCAUGUAUGCCUUAAACUCAAACUUACCCUCUUCCUCCAAGGUCCUUCCAUCUCCCCUUCUAUAAAUCCCACUCGUCCAUCAGAGCCCAGUCUCCGGUAGCCUAAUGAGGUCAUCAUUCUUCAACCACUAGGCUCUGUGACUUUUUUUUUUAAACUACUGUAGCACUUGUAAGAGCACCUCAUUCAACACGUGUCUUCAGCCUGGUAGCAUUACAUAUCUUUUUAUGUUGAAGUUACCUCCUCAAAUAGCUUGUAAGCUCCUUUCAGAUGGUCAACUUGAUUUGGUCUUCUUUUGAUCUCAUGCAGUGUCUAAGAAUCCAUUAUGUGUAGGCAGCUCAUUCUCCUGAGCUGUACUCUCUUGUCUUCUUUUUUUCCCCAAAUAUGAAUUCUUCCCUGUCAUUUUGCUAAUUAUAAAAGUAAAAUCUAUUCAUCGUUAAGACAUUUUUAAAUAUGGAAAAGUAAAAGAAGAAAAUAAGAAUUAUCAUUGAUCUGCUAUCCAGAGCCACGCAUUGCUAUCAUUUUAGAGCAUUUCCUUCUAGGUUGUCUUCUCUGUGUAUAUGUAUGUUUUUUUACAAAAUUAAAAUUACGUACUUUCUAUAGUUUGUAUUUUACUGUCUUCACCCAUUUAGCUUAAUGUUAUAUCAUGAGCAUUUUCCUGUGUCACUAAAUAGUUUUAGAAACUGUAUUUAUAUAAAACAUAUUUUAUGGAAAAUUUAGGCAUAAAAAUAGAAUAAUGUGAUAAAUUCCUAGAUGCCUGACGUUCAGCUUCAAUAGUUAUCAAUAGUAUGCCAUUCCGAAUAUGUAGUUUAUAAUGGAUGCAUACCGUUUCAUUGUUUGGAUGAUACAUAAUUUAUUUAACCCUUUCUCUGUUACUGAAAAUUUCAGUUUUCUGUAAUUUUAGAUGCUUAUGUUUUUGUACUUCUAGUCAUAAUUAUUAUUCUUGCUCUCUGGAGAACCUAAUUAAUUUCUUCAUUAUUAAGUAAUUCUGAUUAUUAGCAAUUUUGUAUUCUGGGAUUUUUAUUGUAUUUCAUAUCUGUGACUGGUUUCACAAUCAUUUUUCUUUUCUCCAUCCAUCAGGUAUUCUUGCAUUAGCCAGAAUGGGUCUUAAGUGAAUUACAAUAACAAGUCAUGUUUUUCUAUUCUUCUUUUAGAGGAAAGAUAAUUUUAAAAACCCAAAACUGGCAAUGUAGGAGAUGGCAUUUACUUUCUAGGUAUCUUAAGGGGCAAGCACAAGAAGGAAAGAGAAAAUGGUUUCAGGAGAAACAAUAUCUGGCAAAAUAUAAUCUUUGCCCAAUGGAAAAUUAUUUUUUAAAUGCUUAAUUUUGCUUAAGAAAUGGAUGAAAUGGUGAGCAUCUAAACAAAAGUGCACCUGAACCAAUAUGUGUAUUUCUUGAGCUGAUUUAAAUGUACAUUUUAACACGUAUAUUUGGUAUUUUUAAAACACAGCAUCUUUAUUUUUUUUUUUUUAAAGAUUUUAUUUAUUUAUUUGACAACGAGAGACACAGCGAGAGAGGGAACACAAGCAGGGGGAGUGGGAGAGGGAGAAGCAGGCUUCUUGCAGAGCAAGGAGCCCGAUGCGGGGCUCGAUCCCAGGACCCUGGGAUCAUGACCUGAGCCGAAGGCAGAUGCCCAACAACUGAGCCACCCAGGCGUCCCUAAAACACAGCAUCUUUAAAUGGAGAGUUCCAGCGUGCAGCUUCUCUUUCAUAGAGGUACUUUCUCAGGCAGUGGAGAGAGAUGCUUUCCUUAGAUAUGGCCCGUCGUGAGCCGUGGGAGGAUGAGCGAGCGGGGAAUUACAUGGACAGUGUGAUUACUCGUGCCCUUGCCCUGAUGGGAGUUCUUCUGCGGCACCUGCUGAAAUUUCUACACCAGGUCAUAUACACAAAGAUGACUCAUGUGCCUACCUACUCUGAGAAAAUGUCUUUGUUUCUUCUAUUACAAAGUAAAACAUGGUUGCUGUAAAAAAAAGAGAGAGAGAGAAUGGGUUUUCAGCGAUUUAUAGUAGAGAUGUAUAGAAAAGUGAGAGAAAGUGGAAGUAUCCCAUAAUCCACACCCCUUCCCGCUCUUGGCCGUGCUGGAUAUGCUCAUUUUGAUUCCUCUGGCCCAUAUUAGCAUAUAUUAUCUGCAUAAUCCACAGAACAAAAGUGUUACUUUUUGAAAUGCUAGUGUAAUCAGGAACUUUGAAGUAUGCAGACCACAUGCAGUUUCUCCUCAUUAGAGGUAAAAUGAUAAGCAGAAAUAACAGGACAGAAUUGGUUACAUAUGGAAAACUACAGCAGAAGGGGAAGCUUAAGAAAAGGAAGGCGUAAGAACCCAAUAAUGAAGACGGUAGAAUUUUUGCAUGUGGAAUCCCACUUUGUUCAUUCGUUAAAAAAACCUACUCUGUGCUAUGAGCUGUAUUCAGUAUUAGAGAUACAAACUUGUGAAACUUGCCCCUGUCAGCUCUUUUUGGUGUUUUGCACAUGCUUUCCCAUCCUUCUGGAAUACUUUCCUCUCCUCUAUCUGACAGCGUCUUUCUCAUCCUUCAUGUCCCAACACAAAGGUCACUUCUGAUGUCCAGCCUUGUUAGCCCUACCGACUGACUUCGCAGACCCCUCCCAGCUCACGUUUGAACACCUCUCCAAUACAGCAUUACUUAUUGUCCUAUAAGUACACAAUAGUACAAAUGUUGAAUUCCUCUCAUAUAUUCUUGGCUGUAGGGUCAAAAUGAAUACAUAGUACGUGCUCAAUAUCAAUAGAUAGAUAGAUAGAUAGACAGACAGAAGGAGCAUAUAUUUAUUGAAUAAAUGAUUGAUUGAAUUAAAAAGCUAGUAAUGUGGACCAAAAUCUUUACAUUCCAUACUACAAUACAAGGAGUCAAGGAGCAAUGUUAAGAGUAGAGGGACAGUCUGAUGUCCUUCUUAAUAUAGACUUUAAGUGUAUGAUACUUGGAUAUUGAGACAAUUGGAUUAAGCAGAACACCUAAAAGUGUUUAAUGGGGUUAAGUGGGAAGAAGAGCUUCAAUAUAAUGUAUUUUAGUGGCACAUCUCAUUCAAUAUUAUUUAAGAAUUGUUAACUGUCUUAUUAUUUAAGAAUCUUUGCCCCGUGAUCCUAUAUGAUUUCCAAAUUGUAUUUUUAGUGGGAGGAUACUGGUUUUUGCCUUCUGUGUUAACAGGUCAGGAGUGGGAACUGCUAAUCUAAAGGUUUUCGUAAUUCAGAACUAUGAUUUAGAAACUAAAGUUCAUGUAAGGUUCAAGAAAUAAUAUUUUUUUCAAGAAAAAAAAUGGUGUCAAGGUAGCCUUAGUAGCGGAUCUCUUUCCUCUAUGGAAUUAGAUUCACAGGUCUGGAAGGAAGGGAUCUUGAUCUCGUCUGUUGAGUAUUGUAACUAGAUCAUGGUAUGUGGCCUGAGAAGAUGGAUUGGGCAGGUCCUGGCAGGAAAGACGUGGCUCCCUUGAAAGGGAAAAGGAGGAAAUAAAGUGACUACUAACAAAGGCAGGGGUCAGGGAAAUCCACAAGUAUCUUAGAGUUAACAACAACAGAAUGUCAUUACCCCUGACAGGAGCUGUGGCCUUCGGGCAAAGAUUGCAGUCACUGCCAAAGCAGCCCAGGAGGGCAGGAGCCAAGGGGAUAAAUAUUGCCACCUGUGUCUCUUCCCUCCAUUCAGUUUCUUACUGGCCAUUCCAUCGGAUGACCCAAAUGGACCUCAGAAAGCAUGGAACCAAGAGAUGUAGUCUCAGGAGAGUAGACUCCUAGGGCAUAGAUCAGGGUGCAAAGUGGAGGAGAAUGGAUCUGGAGGGGCAAAUGGAGAAUAUCUAGACAGUGGGGAAAAUCUUCAAGUUAUGAAAAGUGACCUUCCUUGUCCAUAGCAUUCAUGUGUUCAUUUGAAGGGUUAACUAGGGUGCUUCAUUUGUUAGGAUUUUUUUGCUUGUAGACUAACCUCUAAAUCAGAUCUUGUGAAGGGGAGCCCCAUGCAGAAGUGUUUUGUUUGGUUCACACAGUGUUUUCUUUUAAAUACCAACAAAUGGCAAACUAUAGUGCCUUUGGGGAGAUUCACAUCAAAGUCUGAGUCUCAUACUUCUUUUGACAAAUGGAAAAUUUGGCAGCACUGAACAUGCAUUGGGAACAAUCUGCCAAGUUUAGUAGGAGCUGCCCCUUUAGACAGGUAGGAACUCUUCAUUUUGCCUCAAUCCCCACCACCCCCUAUUGUAGUCUUAAACCCACAUGGCUUCUGCCUGAUAUCUGUAGACUUUUGAGUUUGUGACCCUUGGCCUCAACAAAGCACUUUAGAGAAGGAAGGAUAGAUAAGUCACACUUAACCUAGAAAGACAGUGAACUCUGUCUUGGAAGAUGUGCUUCUCUACAAAGGGAAUAAAGAGACAGGGAGAUUAAUCUUGUCCCUGGAGACACAGUCUGAGUGUUUGUUAGACUACCUAGGAGAAGGUUUUGCUAGAUACAUGAAGUUCAGUUGGAUUUUUUAGGUCAGUCUCUGUGUUUACCUUUAAACUUUUAAUUCUUUUCCAUAGAACAAAGAUUGUUGAAUGGAAUAUGUUCCAGCUUAUUCCUUAUUUCAGUACAAGAACAUGCUAGGAAAAGAGAAAGCCUGAAAUGGGAAAGAAAGAAAGAAAGAGAGCGAGAAAGUAGAGAAAAAGCAGGUAAACUGUAAUCUGAUAUAAACAACACUGUCAGGAGCAUCCUGUUCCUUAUAGUUUUGCCUGAUUUCUUUUUUUUUUUAAGAUUUUAUUUAUUCAUUUGAAAGAGCAAGUGAGAGAGAGAGAGCGAGCGCUAGAGGGUACAAGCCAGGAGGAGGAGCAGAGAGAGAGGGAGACUUCCCACCAAGCAGGGAGCCCGAUUCGGGGCUUGAUCCUAGGACCCCGGGAUCAUGACCUGAGCUGAAGGCAAAUGCCCAACGGACUGAGCCACCCAGGCACUCCUGUUAGCCUGAUUUCUUUAGCAUAAAUUCCUAGAAGAGGAAUGGCUGCAGUAAUGUGCAUUUAAAUUUUUGAUAGACAGUCCCAAACAGUAUACCUGUUUGUAAGACCUUUAAUUCUUAUUGUCAAAUUGCCCUAUCUAUCUGGAGUAAUAGACAGUGAGGACUCAAAUAAGGACAUAUAACCCAACGUAAAGGCAGCCUGUUAGAUGUUUAUGAUAGGAACAGACUACAUUUUUACCUACUAGGACCAUAUAUUGUAAAUAAUCUCAGCACUUAAAUUUUGGAGUUUUUAAAAAAAAAAAAACUGUAGGUAAGAUAGAGACUACCAGUUUUGCAUGAUAAUUUUUUUUCUCUGCUCUAUGAGAAGAUUUUUUUUUUUUAAUACUAUACUGCUUAGACUAUAUCAAGAGAAAUGGGCUCUAUUAUCCCUAUGAUAAAACAUUGGAAUUAGAAGAGCUGAGUUUUAAUUCUGGCCCAGCUGUUUCUCUGUUUAUAUGAUCUUGGACGGGUUAGUUGACUUGUCUUAAUCUUCUCAUCUAUCCAGUGGAGAAAAUACCAUAAUUGAUUCAAAGUGUUACUGUAAGAGCUAAAUAAUACUAUCGAUGAAAAUAUAGAGUAUUUUGUAAACUGCAAAGCAAUAUACAAAUUUCUCAAUAUCAUUAGUAACACUAUAAUAGUAAUACUAUUCCUAAAUUUUUCUGAUAUAGUUCCUUCUGGUUACUCCCAAGGUUACAGAUUAAUUAGCUGGAUGGACAUUCUCUUGUAACUGUGUGCCUCUUUUCUUUUAAAACACUGGAUCUCUCUAUCUGAAAGGAAAAUUUCAGGAGAAUUUAUGAACUUGCAGUCUUGGAACUUGGAGAGAAGAGACACAUAUUCCUGCAUAUUCCCAGAUCAUUAAUCCUACUUUUAAUUCUGCUCCCAGCCUUGUACCACAUCAUUUCCUAAUGAUCAACUGCAGUGAGUAAUAACAACCUUUGGGCAGAUCAAAUUUCAGUUUUAAAAUCCAGGAAGCAAAGCUGUGCUUUGGUCUUUCUCCUUUUUAAAUUAUAGCUAAAUGUUCUUUUUCUCUAUUUAGGCAAGUCGGAUGCCUGGUUUCCGCCAGACCAAAGGGAAGCCAGGCCCCUCUUCUGUGUAUGUCACUGUCAUAAACCCAGAGGGUCUGGGCUUAUGAAGCAGCUACUUAUGAAAUAAUGUUUUGGCACUGAAUGCCUCACACCUGAAAUUAGGAUCUUUGGAAGACGUUUUCCGGGGUUUUGUGGUAGUGGUUGUUGCUUUUGUUUUUCUUUUUAUGUUUGUUCCUAUAAGAUCUUUAUGAUGAAGUAUUUCUAGUAUUUCAAUAGACCUAGCUGCUUGGAAUCUGGUGAAUUGUCAACAGGAUAUAUUUUCUCUCAGAAUUUGUUAUUCUGCUGGAACCAUGCUGUGGUGCUUUUGUGAUUGAGUUAGCCACCAGAUAACCCCUGCCCUUAACUUUCUGCAUUAAAAUUGUUUCUCUCUGUCAUCCAGACGGUGGGUUGGUAUUUCUCAGGUAACUGUUUAGCAUGUAAAGCUUAUUAAAAGCUUGCUACUGAAAAAUAAUAGGGCUCUUGCCUGUAGGAGCCAUUACAGAAGGUGAGAGCCCCUUUUCUGGUAAGAAUUCGGGUUAGGACCCUUCAUUUCCCCAACAGAACAUCAGCUGAUAGUACCUAUAUGCUGCACUUGAAAUGCUCGAGCAACCUUGUCCUUGAGCAAGACAGCUUGCAGGGCAGGUUAGUCAUGAGUUACUGUAGGUUCUCGAAGAGCUUCCAUUUUAUCAUAGUAGCACCAGUAAACAGCUUGCCCAGACUAUGUUAACCAGCCAUGCACAGAUACCCCUUUACUGAGCUGCAUUUCAGUAUCUGGCCUUUGGCUUCACCCAACAGUCAAAGAAAGAAAUGGCCACCUGGCUUCAGCUGAAAUCACCGUUCCUUAUUUCUAACUUAUUUUGUGGAGGGACUAUGCCAUAAAUUCCUCUUUGAGCUCAGCAGUAGAAAAUGGACGUUCCUUCCGACAAAUCCAUCUGCUUCCACGUUUAUGAAAUUGAGAAUUCAUAACCUAUCAUGUUCCCUUUUUAGCUUUGGUUUCCUAAGCUCAGAGCCAAAAUUAGUGCUUCAUUACAAUAACUCGUCUCCAUUUCCUGGUAGUUAUCUCUUUCUUCCAUGUGGAUUAGCUCUUCUUUUCUUUAUUUCAGUGAUCCUGUACAUGUGUUUAUUUUAAGCCAUUUUAAAUCCUUUAUGGAAGUAGGUAGAGUUCAGAUUAUAAAUAAAAUGGUAUCGCUCCUAUUAUUGUCACAGUCACAUUAUUGAUUUGUGUUUGGCGUUAGUCUCCUGCUUCCCUCUGAACUUCUCCUUUAUCCUUGCUGAUUUGCUCAUAUUUGGAUGGGGAUGAAAAACCAGACUAGGAGCAAAAAAAGGAUAUGAUCCUCAACAGAAACCUGACAAUAUUUUUAUAGUUUAAAGUAUAAGGUUAUAGGGCUCACUGUACAAAUAUUUUUAUUUUCAUGUGAAUCAGAGAGCUAUCACUUGUCUUAGAUACAGCAGAGGGGUUAAGGGUGUUUGGUUAGGGGACUUUGUUCAGGUUAAAUAGUGGACUUCAUGGCCAAAGUCUCCCCUGCAGCCCUCAGUGUUAGAAUUAUGAAGCGCUUUUCAGUUGAAUCUCAUAUCUGGGUUUAGAGUUGCUAUUUUAGGCAGAAACCAGGGCUGAUGACGUGGAGAAAAGAGUCUGACUUUUGGGAUACUCUGACAUCACUAUCCAUAGGAACUGAUGCGUGAGAACUGGGAUUGGAAAGCUAGUCUGGCUAAAGGGACUUAAAGACUUUGGGAUAAGAUGACAGUUCCAGGUUAUUGGGUAAAGAAGAAAACUCAAAAGACAUCUGGCAGUAAUGGUGGGGAGAACAUCAAGCAAAAACCAUGUAGAAACAAAGGGAAAAGCAAAACAGAGACAGCAGGAUCCUGAGAUCCAGGUCGUACCACAGACUUCCUCUCUUCUCUCGCUGAGUCUCAGCUGGGCCCGGGGAGGGCUUGCGAUUUAGCGGGUGGGUGGCACAGUUGGCCAUAGAUUAGGUCACCACGGAAUAAGUACCCUCUUUACUUGGAACAUCUUUCCAGGGCUGGACCAUUCCUUUAGGGUUAAGUGAGAAGUCGCUGUUCAAAGAGGAAGCACAUCCAUGUGCUGCUGCAUUUUUUUAAACCAAAAUAACGUAUUUGCCUAUUGCUAGAAGCCUGCCCUUUUAAAAACAAAAAGACUGGCACAGACAAUGGCUUUUGGGGAUGAAGAUACUUCCCUUUGUGUCUGUUCUAGUCAAGCCUCUUCUGGUUGCAUGGAACAGAAACCAUCAUGAGCUAGCUUAAGGAAACGGGGGUUUAGUGCAAGUACGUGAAUAUGUUCUCGGGAGAGUGAUGCGAGACUUCCAUGGUCAGGAACCUUCCCAACCUCAGGGGAGCUAGAAUUGGGAGGCUUUUUUGGGACUCAAGAUAGCUACGUUCUCGCUUUCUCUUUCCCUUCAUUGUGUUUGUCAGGCUAAAUGUUUAGGUCCUUGUUACUGCAAGUGCAGACUGGGGACCGGCAGCAGGGACAUCCCCUGCAAUCUUGUAGCAAUGCAGACUCUCAGGCCCCACCCCAAAUCUGAAUUGGCAUUUUAACAAGACCUCCGGUGAUGUUUGCACAUGAGGGUUUGAAGAACUUGGUGUAGGUCCCUGGCUAUUUAUAGAGCUGUUCCCUUUACUCGGGUGCCCACUCCAAUGUCAUCAUCCUGGAUGAGGGGCUGGGCAGGGCCAUGUGACAAGCAUGACCUUGGCUGGGGCUGUGGGAGGGAGAGGCCAGGCUGGCUCAUCUUAUACACCAUCUAAGACUUUCGGGCUUUCCUUUAACUUGUAGCAUCUGUUAGGACCAUGGUUGGUUCCCAAUUGCCGAGACAUAGUUGGUGGAGAAAUUUUGUGAUUUAUUUAAGACUAAAUAAAACUGGUUGUAGCGCCAUUACUACCUGAAAAUGUCAUUGUUUUGCUUAUAUCUUACGUUUUAUUGGCUUUUCAAAGAUAAUUAAACCUGAAAACACUGUAGACUAAGUAUAGUUUAGGCAGUUGUAUGAAUAGGAGUUUUUAGCUCUACAUGAAUGUACUCAGGUGGUUUAACGACAGCUACGUCUUCCUUCCAGCUAGGAGACACUGAUCAGUGCUAACGUUUACAAAGCUCUGUCUCUCUCACAUGGAGUCUCGUGUGCAUACCUCCAGCUCCCAUCAUGCCCAUUAGCCUGUGAAAUUGAUUCUUUUAAAUGGUUAUACAGGUCUUUGGCUUAUUAGCCAACCGUAUGACUGAGCAAGUGAGUCCUGUUUUCAGGAAUUCUAUGAGUCAGUUAGAUCUUUAAGGACGGGUGUGUGUGUGUGUGUGUGUGUGUAUCAGUCACUCCCAGGGACACUUAGAGCUCUUUUACAGUUUGAUACAUUCCCCAUCCCCUAGAAGACAUUUUCUCAAAAGGGAGAACUUUGCUACCUCCAUUAGUUUAUUUUAAAGAAUUUUUUUGGUUUUAUCUCUUUAAGUUUUUUUAUAUCUUUUUAUUAAGAGAAUUUUUUUAGAGUAGUCUAAGCUUCCCAGGAAAAUUGAGGGGAAAGUAUAAAGAUGUCCCAUAUGUCCUCUGCCCCCACACACUAUUACCUAUUUGAAUGCUUCAUUCCCUUGGCCUGCCCUUGUUGACCAUACCUGUUUAAGGCAUGAUUAGUUGUUUGCUCCUUGCCUGGCUGGUCCAGUUUUUGGUGUUUCAAGGUACUGAUUUCUCCCCGCUUAGUAACCAUUCCAACAAGAAUGGUGGAUUUUCAUAUUGCCUUUUAAAUAGAAUAGGUCUCUGUAAGGCACAUUGUAAGUUUCUCGCUGAAUUUAAUGAAGACAAAUUAAAUCUGUAUCUUUAUUGAAGCAAUUCAGGUGAUGAGAAAGGAAGCUCUUGAAUCAAGAAAGAAGGUACGGGGGGUGAUGUCGGAUACAGAGAGACUUAGGGCCACUUUUCUGAAACACAAAAUGAGCUUCAGUGCUAAGAAAACUCCCAGCUCUGAAUAAGGAGUUGAUGGAAUGUCCAUGCAAGAUGGAAUUUUAUUUCUGGGACAUUGUUGGAAACCCAUUAGAUGGGAUGAUCUUCAGUCUUUUGUAGUCUGAAAUUUAAUGAACUCUUAUAAACGUUGUUUAUAAAUCCUAAGUGAAGAGAAAAAGGGCUCCCUCCUUAAAUUUAUGUUCUGAUAUGCACUUUAAAGUUGGAAUUCCCAUUGCACUUCUGAUCUUUUCUUAAACUGUGAAAUCUAUCACACAUACAAGAGUGUAUCACAUUUAUGUACCACUAAAGAUUGAUAAGAUGAAUGCCUCUGUGCCUACCACCCAGACUAAGAAGGAGAACAUUACCCAGUGUCUUUAAAGCAGUCUCUGUUAAUGUGCAUUUCUAGACUUCUUUAAUGUGCACCGUGAUGUUUUAUUUGUGAGCACUCAUAUUGGUGGAUACCAAGCGAGAGAAGCUCAGCCAGUUUUAUCUCAUAUGCAAACUUUUCUCAUAUUUCCAAUCUGAUACUGAACUUGAACACAGUUAAAUUCUUCCUCUUAGAAGCUGAUCUUUAACAAGCUGAUUAUCCUGCUUAAAAAUAAUAGCAUCAUUCAUGACUUUAAUUUUCCCAUUCACACGGCAAUUACAGCCGUGGUAGCUUCCCUGAGCACAGGAUGAGUAUCCAUCAGCUUGAGCUUCUGCUGUAGAGAAGGCGAGGGGCCUGUAGGCUGACAAUCCAUCCAGGCCCAGGAGAAAGCAUAGCUAAUGGAAACUGUCUUUAAAUCGUCGACAUUAAAUCCACCGAAGGUGUCAUUAUUUUCUAGGUGUGUGAGAGGGGCAUUAAAGUUCUACCCUUUCAUUUCUGAUGUGGAUUUUUUAUUGUCACCUACAGUUCCAAAGAGCCAAGAUUGGAUGCAUACAUUAAGUAACUACAUGCUUUGGUAAAAAUCAGAGUUUUGAAAAAGAGAGAGUGAAGGACAUUGAUUAGCCAUUAUAUUGCAUCAUUUAGAAAUGGGCAGGGAAACUUCCCAGUGAUGCCGAGGGCUAGGAAGACAGUUCUCAAGAGGCCCUGUGGAGUGCCCAUCCUGCUGGAGGUCUGGGCUCAUGGCCAAAGGCACUGGUUCUUUUUUAGGAAUGACCAGAGCUGACAUUGAGUGCUUCCAUUAUGUUAAGUGUCUCAUAGCAACUGCAUUGAUAAGGACCUAUUAUAAAUGAGGAAACUGAGACCCAGAGAAGCUAAGGCACCUGCCAGGGUUGUAUUAGUCACUGUCUCUGCUUGAGUCUCGUAGAGAGAACAUUGCAUAGUGGUUAAGAGGAUGAGCACCGGGACAGGCCAUUUGGGUUCAUGGCACACUCAGCCACUUAGUAGCUCUGUGACCUUGACCAAGCUACCUUAACCUCUGUGUGCCUCAGUUUCCUCAUCUGUAAAACAGGGAUACUGACACUGCUGUCCUCUUAGAGUGGUGUUUAGGAUUAAGAAGUAAUGACUGUAGGGGCACCUGAGUGGCUUAGUCGGUUAAGCAUCUGCCUUCGGCUCAGGUCGUGAUCCCGGAAUCCUGGGAUCGAGACCUGCAUCGGGCUCCCUGCUCAGCAGGAAGCCUGAUUCUCCCUCUCUUGCUGCCCCUGUUUGUGUUCCCUCUCUUGCUGUCUCUCUCUCUGUCAAAUUAAAAAAAAAUCCUUAAAAAAAUAAUAAUGACUGUAAAGUACUUGGUCCAGUGCACAUCAUAUAAAGCAUGCUUAGGAAAGUCUAGCUAAUAAGUGAAGAGUCAGUGUGGAGCAUUUCUCUAAGUCUGAGAGUAGUCAGAUAUUUUAGAAAAUAGUUCAUUCUUAUUGCAAAAGCAACAGUGUUUGUUACAGAGCAGUUAGAAAAUAUAUAGAAAUAAAACAGGAAAAAACUUUAUCCCACUAUCCAAACAUAAUUGCUAUUAAUAUUUUGUUCUGUUUUCUUCUGCACUGCUUUAAUAUCAUUGUGAUCAUUAUCAUGCUUUAUAAACAAUUUUGCAUCCUUUUAUACUUAAAAUGAUAAUAUAAUGAUGAUAUGAGUAUUAGCAACAUAAUAUCUUUAUAAAUAUAAUUUUAAUGAUUAUAAUAAUUUCUACAUUGCUCCAUUGUUUGGUAUUGGCUAUUAUAAUUAAUGUUUUCAUAAACAUUUGUGAAUAAACUAUAUUUUCUUAGAUUAGGGAUCAAGCAGACAUGUAUAUAUAACUUUAAAAAACUAUUUUACAGAAUUAACACUUUGCACUGUAACUAACUUUACAUACACAGACCUUAAAAGAAAUCCAUGUCUUUACAACAUCCUUGUUAGGUAAGAGCAAGUUAUCCUUAACUUAGAAUAAAACAAUAAUGAACUCAUUUCUGGAGGUAUUUAUUAGGUGCCCGUUUUUACCUAAGGACUGGUUCUAACUACUAGGAGGGUGAAGAAGUUGUAAAAAUAAGUUUAAGGAUCAUCCCACCUUUUAGAAAAUAUGAAGCAUGUACUUUCCACUGUAAGGAAGAGAUCAGACCUUUAUUUGCCUUAAUCUGAGAGGGUGCACGCGUGCAUGCCUGUGUGUGUGUGUGUGUGUGUGUGUUCAUGCACACUUUUGCAAUGCUGCUUCCAUGCCAUGGGCUUGCUUCAUGUGGUUUCCAACAGAGUGAGCUCAAGAUUAGAGAGCACCUUGCCAUCCUGAUUGGCCAUUACAGAUUCGGAUGACGUCUAUGUUUACAAGCUGUUUGCAAAAUGUUGCUUGGUGCUGCCUAAUCUGUGGCAUGUGCCUGCUUCUCACACAUCCCCUCGUGGGAGGCAGGGCUGAGCCCGGGGAGGGAGCGUGCCCCCUGCACAGUCAGGCGGGGUAUGAGGCUGCCUUCCUGAGGCAGGCACAGUAACCUAGGAAAGAUGAAGGACACAGGCCCUGUUUGGUCUCCGUGCUCUGGAAAUCAUCACUAGACUGUCAGCAUUCAUUCAGCACAUUUCUUUGAGGUUUUCUGUGGAAUGUCUUCUCAUAAUGUCUGUUUUAAAGGUUUAGCUUUCAAAGUCCAGAGAGAUUGAGUGACUCAGAUGGUUCUUAAUUCAGCAUGCUGCGUGCUGCCUGGCACCAUGUUUUUGUACGCCCCCUCCCUCCUUAGUUCUUUCGUUUGGUGGCUGAAGAGAAUCUCUGGCUUGUGGAAGUGCUGCUGAAGGUGUAUUGGGUGGUCAGCACGUCUUUAUAUAUUUGCCAACACUGUCUUUGGUGCGAAAAGAGAAAGGACCCGAGUCUACUUUAGAGGGAAAUUCCCCCCUAGGUUGUGUAACCAUUACUUCUUGCCUGGUGGGGAGGUAGGGGUGAGGCAUGGACUGGCCAGUGGAAUGCAGGCAGCCUCUAGAAGCUAGGAAAAGCAAGGAAUGGGAUUCUUCUCUAAAGCCUCCAGGAGGAACACAGUCCUGCAGACAUCCUGAUUUUAGCCUAGAGACACCCAUUUUGGACUUCUGGUCUCCAGAACUAUGAGCUAGUAAACAUGUGUUGUUUCAGGCCGCUAAGUUUAUGGUGAUUUGUCAUGGCAGCCAACAGGAAACUAAAGCCAUUCCAAGAUGGUCACCGAAGGGUAGGCUGUGUCUGCUCCUGAUGGUUCAUCUGGAGAAUAAUGUCCUUUUUGGCAUCUGAAUGCUUUUCUGAGGGCUAAUUUACGCAUCUUGAGGGGAAGGUGAAUUUAACAGGACACCAGUUUGAAAGAAAUAGCGGUAGCUGACUAGUACAUCAGUACAGAUACCUCUUGGCCACACUGCACUUCUUCUCUCUGCCAUGUGAUCAUUCAGAAUGGACUCUUCUUGACUGUCAAAGAAAGUGAAGUUCGUUAAGUCUCUCGUGUGUUAGCCUGAUAGCAGAAGUUAGCAGAAUCAUUCAGAAAACUUUGUUGGAGUGUUUAAACUUGCCUGCAGCAUCGAAGGCAUGAUUUAAUCUUGGAAGUAGAAGUAAGAUUGCCAUGUCUUUGGGGUUUUCUUUUCCCAGUAAGGCAUUUAUUUGCUCUGAAGGAUGGGAACCCAUCAUGACCUUGAAAAUCUCCUUUUACUGGCACUGCUGCUAUUAGUUGGAGGUAACUCUGUGGAUGCUGUGUUUCUAACUUUCAACCAGCUAGUGAAUCGCUGUCUUUUGAUCUUUCUGCAGCCUGGUUUUUGUUUUUAACUGUAAACAUGACCUGUCCCUUCCAGAACUAGGUCACUUUCAUUUUGGUCGGAAUAGUUAAUAAAAGUUUCAGAGGGAAACAAAGAGUUUCUGCAGCAUUUUCUCUUCCAAACGAGCCGGGAUGAAACUGAAAUGGGGCCGUAUCGGCGUCUACAUUUGAAAUGACAAGAAUGUAUUUCUACCAAAAUAUACACUGAACUUCACAAUGUAAAGAAGGAACAAAGUCAUCUAUAGAAAAGCAAGCUCAGGCCCCAGAGCUCACAGAGUACCCAUUAUAGUCCUCCCAGAAAAGCGUUUUCUUCACCGGAGAACUUACCAGCUAGCUCGGCCUGGCACUGCAAUGAGAGGACACUAGCUCUUACUAUUCUCUCGACUCGGCGUCUGAAAAGUAUUUAUUUCUUAGCACAUUUCUCUCAUCUCUGUGCCUCUACAGCUGGAUAUUGCUUACGGCUAAAUGUUUUUGUGAUAAAGUUAAUUGCUGAAGCUUCGAUUUUUUUUUUUGAGCCAAGUUGCAUGGAACAUGCAGUAACUGUUGAUAAAGUCUUAUUACUAUAAAAGUCCAUUCUGAUUUCUUAAAAAAUCAGACAGUUCAAUUGUCCUGUGAAAUAACUGAUAGUGAUAAUUCUUUGACUCUGAUACAAUCUUAGAAUAGCUCAGCUCCAGUGCAUUUUUUAGAGGUGAGUGUGGAAAAAAUAAGCUAUGGAAAGCACUUGUAGUCAGUUGGAAAAAGAGAGAGUUUGUUCCCCCCCACCCCCAGCCAGCAGAUAGGCCCAAAUUUGUAGAAUUAAAAUAGGAAGCUGUUAGUGUUCAUGAUAGGUAUGUCUUUUUUCUAAGGGUUCGUCUAAUAAAAAUGAUUAAAAACCAGCAUGAUGAUAAUUAGAAUUUAUAGCACAUUUAAUUUAUGCAUUAAAGGUCAUAUUAAUUGUGAUUAUGCAUAGAAAUAUAGUACUUUAAUUCAUAAAAGGGAGCCUUUGAAUCUUGGCUGGGCAUAUGGGUCUUAAAGGGAAAAAAACCUAAAAGAUUCAAAGAAGGAUCAAUGAAGAAGAGUGAAUGUUAAUAAUGCCAUAGCUCACUCCCCUUUUCAUCCAUAAAGCCCUAUUUAUUAAUCAUAACAGCAUCAACAAUAAUGAGCAUAUUCCUUGUUUGCCCCAUUGGUGACCUUCGAGGUUUCCAUUAUGCUUGGCAAUUGCGCAAUGCUCAGAACACAAGUUGCCUUCCAGAGUGGGCAGAAAUUCCCUGGGUAGCCCCAGGUCCCAGCAAACCACUCGAUCAACCUUUACAUAGAAGUCAUAGCCUAGGGAAUAGCCUUUUCCCCUCUGGUUUUGGCCUCUGGUUGCCUGUGAGGUUACAAGAACAUGAUACAUAGAUUCAGGUAACACACUGGGUUUGAUGGGAAAUAAACCAGCAAUAACUGUUGUCAAGCUAAUUAUUAGUUUAGACAGAUGUACUCAAUCUGUGGAUAGAAGCCCUCGGAUCGGACCCUCGUUUGACCUCCAAUGUGCAGACCCUUUUGCUGAGGUGAGCGGGGUGGGUAGUAGUGGGUACCUUGUACCACUGGAGUGGAGUUCCCUUUGGUUUCCAAAUUGCAUCUCUGAAUAGCACAGGAUUUGAAUUAUUACUUUAAAAGUUGUUUAUCUUUGGAAAAUAAUAACUGAAAAUUUACCCAGCAAAAAAAUUUUUAUUCAAAGAAAAUCCUUUCCAUUUUGAUUUGGGUUACAUAUAGUUAGCCAGUUUCUUCUAAUUUUUUUUCAUUUCUUUUAUUCUAUCCCUCAACGUCCAUAUUUUUGUGAUAGGAUACCAUCAUUUUUGUAUUCACCAUUCAUGUGAUAGGAUACCAUUCAUUUUGUAUUUGUAUUUUUGAAUAUGGUGAACUAAUCUGCAUGUCUCCAAUCCUUCUUUGAGUCACCGGAAGCUCUUUCCUGCUCAGUAGAGUUUGGGCUAUUAUUAAUUUUACCUCUUACUUAAAAUCUUGUCUUUCUUUGAAUGUGAAUGUCUUCAUUUCCCCUAAUGCCUAUUCAGUCAACUCUAAUUGCUGUUUCUUCAGUCUAGGGUCAUCUUCAUUAGUUUAAUUAUCGUAGAAGCCUGUUUCCUAAAUGUGCUAAUAGCAUGAAAAUGACUUAUUUCCAUGUUCUCUGUUGUGCUACAUUAAGAAACAGACAAAAAGAAAAAUUUGUACAGGAAGACUGAAAAACAUCAGUUUUCUAGGAUGGCGCAUUCGAGGUUGCUGCCCCCAGCCUCAUCUACCUCUAGGAGUCAGGACCUGAGCUGGAGAGCAGAGGGUGGAGCAGGGGGCUGCCUGAGGCAGUCAGUCAGUAGCAGAAAAAACCACAAGCCUCAUAAAGAGGAAAAGCCAAGGGAAGCAAAUACACUUGACAACAAGAACAGGAUACAUAUAGGAGCAGAAGGCCUGGGUCAAGAGCUGGAUGUUGAUUAGAGGGAGAUGGGAGCAGGUAGGGAUGAAAUGAAGCAGGUAGCAGGCAUUGCUUUGACCAGAACUGGGUGUUCUUGAUUUGCCUCUGUUGGUAGGUAGGUUCAUGGUGUGUGCAUGCCAGGCUGGUUUAAAGGGUUAGGGCUGGUUGUAAACAGUCAUGGUGCAAAGAAUGUCUUUACAGUGUACCCAAACAUAUUGUAGAAAAGUCACCCUCUCAGAGAUACUUGUCCCAUUAUGGCAUACCAACCGUUGCCGGGCUCCAGCUGGGACAUUUCUCUGUGCUUCUUUCUUACAGUGCCUGAUUUCCAGUUCCCAUCCAAAUGAAAGUGGACCAUGGGAUGAAUGAUUUGUUUGCAUGUGAUCUUCCUUCCAUUCCUUUGUAACUUUUUUUAACCUUGUUUCUUGAGUUUCACAUAGUAUCUCCUUUAUUCUACCAAUUAUAUGUCGUAAGCAAUUUGUAUCUUUAAAGUGAAGGUUCUUGGGGCAUGUGGGUGGCUCAGUUGGUUGGGCGUCCGACUCUUGAUCUCAGCUCAGGUCUUGAUCUCAGAGUCGUGGGUUUGGGCCCUGUCCAGUGUGGAGCCUACUUAAAAAAAAAAGAAAAAGAAAAAAGUAAGUUAAAGUGGUGGUUCUCAAAGUGUGGUCUGGGGAACCCAAAGGUCCCUUAGGCCCUUUCAGAGAAUCUACAAGGUCAAAACUGUUUUCACAAUACCACUAAGACAUUGCUUGCCUGUUUUUGCUCACAUUAUCUCAUGACUGUACAGAAUAUACGUUCAUCAAUAAGGAUUCAGCUUCCAUGCCACAGGUAACCUUUAAGAAACAACCAGUUGUCGAGUUUUAGUGUAUAUCAAAGAAGAAUCCAAAAAGGGCUAUUAAAAUACUCCUUCCUUUUCCAGCUACAUUUCUGUGAGGCUAGAUUUUCUUCGUAUACUUUAUUUAUUUUUUCUUCAUAUACUUUAACUGAAAGAGCAUAUCGCAAAAGAUUGACUGCAGAGGGAGAUAUGAAAAUCUAGCUGACUUCAAAUCAAGGCAGACAUUAAAGAGAUUUGCAAAUAUGUGAAAACUGGCUCUUACUAGUUUUUUUCCUGUAAAAUAGUUAUUUUUCAUAAAAUAUGUUAUUUAUGUUAACAUAUGAUGGGUUUAUUGUUAUUUUAAAAUAAAUUAAUAAAUAUUUUUAAAGUUUCUUUGUUUUAAUUUGUAAUACAGUUUAUCUGGAUAGGUAUAAUCCACACAAACGGAAGUUUUUGGGGGUUCUCAAUAAUUCUUAAGAGUAGAAGUGGAUUUUAAGACUAAAAAGGUAGAGAACCACAGCAUUAAAGUAAGCAUUUGUUUAUAAUGCAAGAAUUGGGUUGUUUAAUGACACAAAUGUAUGGUCCACAAAUGUACAGUGUUAAAGUCAGAAAUUGAUAAUGAAAGUGACUUUUACAAAGUACUUGGUCUGGGUCUCUCCUGUCUUCCCUGCUAGCAGUUGCUACAUUUCCCUCUUCUUUCUUCCCCUUACACACCAAUAACUGUAAAGCCUGACGUAAAUCCUGUAAAAAUAUGUGGGAAACACUUAGUUGCUAUGUAUUCUUUUUUCAUAAAAUGUUUCAAAUUGCCAAUAAUACUUUAAUAACAGCAAGCAGUUUUGCCUUUUCUGCCUGAGGGAAACAGCUUUACAACAAAAUUUCAUUGAUUCUCCAGUUAUUUAUCUGUUAAAAUAAAAGCCAAAGUAUCAGCCUCCUAAGAGGAAGACUGGAGAAGCCACAUUAUUUCUUCCAAUUAAAGAGAUAGAACUUAUAAAAUGGAAAGUGGCUGUGUGAUCAUCAGAUAAAGUCCUAGAUUCAGAGGUGAGACCAGGGUUGGGACUUGGUUUUCUUGAGUGCAGCUCAGUCAUUGCAAAAUGCACUGUUAUUACUGUCACCUUUCUUUGAUACUCUGCCCAGUAUGUGUUCGAUAAAGAUUAACUAUUCAAAGAGCCUAUGAGACAGUGCAUAUCUAGUACAGAGGGAGAUGGACCAGAAGUCAAGGGCCCUGGCUUCUCUCAGCUCCUCACGAGCUCACCCUGUGACCUUGGAUAAGUCACCCAACCUCCCCAGUGCUUCUGGGUCAUCUGUCAAAUAAAGACUUACCAGCCUAGAGAGGUGGGAGGCACCUUUAGAGUUUAUAAUGUAAUUUAUUUGUCUUCCAUCUCAUGUAAUGAUUACAACAAACCUUGAAGUAACUAAGGUGGGUGUCAUUACUUCCUUGCAGUUAAGGAAGUACCUGGGGUUAUAUGAUUAGUAGUAAUGACACUCCGUUCUAUUCCUCGUCCUAACAAUACAAAACCUCUGCCCAGGUGUACAUGAACCAGUCUCUUGGUCCUUGAGAAAUGCGUGCUCAAAGCACAGGCGAUGUCUUUGACUCCUCAAGUUGGAGCUCUGAAUGAUUUCAUGUAGCAAUAUGGCUACAGGUGGUUUUUCAGGACUGGAUAUUUUUUUUUUUUAAAGAUUUUAUUUAUUUAUCUGAGAGAGAGAGAAUGAGAGAGAGAACACGAGAGGCGGGGAGGGUCAGAGGCAGAAGCAGACUCCCUGCUGAGCAGGGAACCCGAUGUGGGACUCCAUCCUGGGACUCCAGGAUCAUGAGCUGAGCCGAAGGCAGUCGCUUAACCAACUGAGCCACCUGGGCGCCCCAGGACUGGAUAUUGUAAGCACUACAUUUGAGGAUUAUUGUGGGCUAUGUAGAUACUUGUGGGUUGACCUAAAUUCCCAAUCACCUCUUACGGCAUUGUUUCAUGAAAAAGGUGUUUUGAGCUCCAUACAACCUGUAUGUAAAUGAGCUUUUGAAAUACAGAGCAUUCUAUAGUUGGGCAUUCUUUUUAAAUGUUUAUCAUUUUUAUUUUGUGACUUAUUUGAAAUCGUAAUAUGGUAUCACUAAGAAGUCAGAAUAUUUUACCUGAAAACGAUAGUUUUAAAGUAUAUUAUUUUAAAUAGUAUUUCCUCCAAAGUAAAUAACUUUACUUCAUUAUUUUAUUAUGUAGAGAGAGCCUCCCACUCCGCUCCCUCAGAAGGCAGAUUUAAUUGUAUAAUAGAAGUGAAUGGGGGAAAAAUUCUUAUCAGAGAUUGCCUAUAUAAAAAUAAAAUUUCAUUGUACUCCAUCGUCUUUUAAGUAAAUUUUACUUGUAUUUACAAGUGGCUGUACAAUCUGUGGUGUGUCCUGUGUGACUCUGUAUAAAACUACACACUAUUUCUAGAGAAGAUAACUAAAGGCAGAUAGCUGCCUCGAUUUAAGCAUAUCCCAUAUAGAGAAUGAAAGUAUAAAGCUUCCCAUAGGAAAGAUUUUAAGUUGCCUUGUUCUUUCUGGUCAUGCACAUUUAAUAUCUGUCUUUGUUGUUCUCUUUAAAACUAUUCAGUUACACCAUACUUUCUUAUAUUCCGGGGGGAAAAAAUAUUUCCGUAACUCUCCCUUGAAUUAUGUGACAAUGCCUAUUUUUCAUUUUGAUUCUUUAGAACUUCUUAAGUCUUUCAUGAACAGAAAGAUCACAUACUAAUACAUCAUUCUUAUUUUCUUUUCUUACUCCAUUAGAAGCCUAUUCUGCCCGUUACGGUUUCGUGUCAUUGUAUGAAGCUGUGUAUGUCUUGGUGAUUGUGUCAAUAGCCCUUAAAGCAUAGGGUCUGAGCGUGGGAAGGCUCCCUCCUGCUUGAGGCCAUUUAUUGGCUCGUUCCAGAAUUUAAUAAUAUGAAGACUUGACUGUUGUGAAUUCCUUUGGUUAAGCUAAGCUUUUGUAGAAUUAAAUGUACUAUUAUUGAUUUCCUUUUGCUAAAUUGAUGUAAUUAUUUUGCUUUGACAAAUUCAGGACCUUUUAAUGCCUAUCUUGUCACCAAUCUUAUAGUUGUGUAUUUUUUCCCAACAUAACAAUGCACAGUUUCAAGAGCACUGAAUUUUCAAAAGUAUGUGAAAUUUCUUUUUAUAAGGUAGCAAUAGAAAAAAUAAUAUCCUUUAAUUGCAAAAGGAGAAUUUUGAGUGUGAGCUAGUGAACAUUGAAGCCAGAACUGGAAUUUGUUUCCAGUCGAUUUACAUUUGAGUAAAAUUUAUCCUUCUUUCACUUAUGUGUCAAACAAUUUAUUCAAGACUCUGAUGAAUUUUAAAUAUAUAUUUAUAAACCAAAGGAUUUUUAAAGGUACCAAAAUUAAAUAUUUAAUAAAUGUGGAGGUGUUUAGAUAUGGUACUCUUCUUUGUAAUUCUAUGACAAUAAAGGAGAGAAGAUGAAAGGAUCAUUCAUCUUCUUGAGGUAAUAGAUUCUGUAGGUUAUAUAUGGUAUUUCUUUCCCAACUGUACAUGAAAAAAUUGUGGCUCCCCAAACACAAUAGGCUAUUUCAACAAACAAUAAGUACAACUGUGCAUUCACGUACGUAAAUGGUCAAUAAGUUAUAUUACACGGACAUGCAAAUAUAAAUUUCUAUGUCAGUAAUUUCAUUGCAAGCAAUAAACCAUUUUCUUCACUGAAAGACAUGAGUUCAGGCUGGUUUUUAAAAUCAUGUGAGGAAGAACCUGACAAUUCAGAGGAAAGUGCUGUAGGAAGAUACUUUAGCCUGUUCCCUAGUGGCUUCACAUUUUUGUCUUCUGUGAAGUUGAGAAAAUGAACAAAUGUCUGGUAUUCCAUGUACUGAUGCAGUCAUUCUGAUGAGUCAUCAGAUUUCACAAUUAAUUUCAAGAAGUCAUCCAACCUCCUUUUCCAUGAGAGUUCCGACUACCACUAGUCACACAUCAUUCUACAGAAUUAAUAGUGAGGCCCUACUAAUGACAACUUUAAACUGGACUUGGAGCAUCGUUCACCAAGUAUUCCCAGGGAGAUUCUUUUCUCUGCAACACAUCAAUGUGCCUGGCUUGUGAGUUUCUUGAAAGUUGGGUACCUGACUUAACCACAAUAUAAACUAUGUUUUCACAAGUUUAUUGAGGACUGUAUUGUAUGGGAAUGACUCAGAGCCUCCCUGACAUCGAGAUGGAUGAUGUCUUUUAGGCCUGGCCCUGACUUUUUGGAGAUGCAAUAUGAGAGGAUGUGUUCCUUAAGGAGCCAUUCCAUUCGUUAGCCUGUUUUUUUUUUUUCCCCCUGAACCCCCCAGGUUCAGUUUAUUGUACCCAAACAUUAUUAGUCUUUUGGUGACAAACAUGGUAAGAAUACAAAAUUAAAUGCUUUCAACUUAGAUGAAGUGGCUUCUGGUGUAACUCAGAUUACAACUGGCCUAGAGCUCUACGGUGUUGCUCAUGUGCCUUAUUUGCACCUGUGUGCUGGAGACAAUUCACACCAGCGCCCAGGAGCUGACGGUGCACAGCUCUUUCCAAUUAGACUUUCAAAGACGUCAACCGUGGUAGUCUGAAAUCAGCCAUGUUGGGAGUCUUUACACCAAGGAAAUUGGCACACUGGAAGUCCUCCUCUCCACUCCCCAAGAACCAGUUAUUAAUAAUACAUUUACCAACACACUACUGCUUUAAAACCAAGAGGUACUAACUUCGUAGUUUUGAGAUUUUAAACAGUAUCUACCGAGGAUUGAUCACAAAGGAAAUAUCAAAUAAGGCUUUUGACUUUAAGAAAUCACAGGGUUAGCCAAACUACCUCCCUCCACUCAAGCAUUUAUCAAACUUACCUCCUUUCAAACUUGAAAAUGAACAAGAGAAUUUAAGCCUGGGUUAGAAUAGACAAAUAUGUUUUAAGAUGUAUUUUUAAAUGUUGGUUUCAUUUAAUAGAUCCUUCUGGGUGUAGGUCUUUUCUCCAGUUUGGAGAAAGAUGGUUAUGUUUACUAAGGAAGAUUCCUUGGGACUGCUAAUCUUGCCUGGCACGCAAGAGAAGUGGACCAAUCACCGACAAGAUGCGUUCCUUUCCCUUUUUUCCCCUCUUUUCUUUUGUUUUAUUUUUAAGAUAACACUUGUCCUUUGGAAAACUACUUACUCAAAGAUGUCUUGGGCAGAAAAAAAAAUGUUUUACUUCACUAUUUAUUGGAUCUCUUUGAAGCAAUGUACUUUUUUCCUAAGGCUAACCAUAGAGGAGGGCUAGCAUCAUACAAAAAAGUCAUGUCUUGAAUAAAAGUAUAUAGUUUUCAUUAGAAAGAUGAGAAAGAGCACCUUUAUUGACCAGUGUGUCACUUAAAUAUGUUUUGAGGGUAGAUUUGUAGAAUCAUUUCCGACACGAAUACAACCGCUAUCAAAUAUAUUCUUAACAAUGACUUAAAAUAGAAUGAAUUAUAAAUGGGAAAAUUUCUAGGAAUGAUAAUCUACUUACUGAUAUAAUUAAUAGAUAAUUAUUUCAAGUCAAGUGUUAGUUAGCCAAGAUUCGUUUCUGGUAUUCAGAUAUAGUUGUUAUCAAGACUGAAAAUGUUAACUUUCUUCCCACAGUAUUCUAAAUUAUAUUUAAAAUCCUUUAAUCCCUUGGGGCAGGAGGGGUAAUCUUGAGCUCCUGGCUUCUCAUUUACAUUUUUCUUUUCUAGCUGUGUCUAUAAGACAUAUCUUUACACUCAGUGCAUUUUACAAAGCAGGUGUUCUUUCCCUAUGUAGCAUAUAUUGGAGAAAUGACUAGAACAAAUUUAAUAUAGAACACAUUAAGAAAUCAGAAAGGGGAUCAUGCUUGUGGCUAGGGAUAACCUUUUUUGUUUUAGCUGGAAGACAAAAACAAAAGCAGGCAAGUCAAUUAAUUUUAAAAAAUAGUGUCUUCCUUUGGACUUGGGAGAUGCUUCUCUGUUUUCAUUGCUCUCAGGAGAACUUCUGUCUUCUGGAUGACCUUAAGUGUAGCCACAUUAACGCUGCUGCCAUGUCCCUAAUUCAGCCUCAGCUGUGAUGUGAGGUGAUGCUUAGUCAUAAGACGCUGCCGGUCAUCUCUUACACCAGGCAUCCCACUAACCCUGACAGCUCCCUUUUGGUGGGCACUACAUAUAUGCCAGACCUGUGUAGAGAGCCUUACAUACAUUGUCCCGUGAGGUUGGCAACAUCAUAAUUCUCAUUUUUCAGAUGUUGAAACGAAGGGUUUGGGAGGUUAACUUGCCUUAGGUCUCACAGUUAGCAGCUGUAGAGCCAAAACUCACCUGCAAAGGGGCCUGAUAUCACUGCCCACCCCAGAAGGUUGUUGGGAACAUUGAAAGAAUUAGCCAAUGGAAACUGCCCGUAACGGGGCCUGCAACAAAAACAAGCACUGGGUAAGUCUCAGCUAUCAUCACCAUCAUCAUCACUAUUAUCAUUAAAACUAGGUCAAUUUGGAAAAAAAUACUAGGUCAGUUUGAUCCCUAAUUCGGUGCUAUUAAGGCCCACCCAAAAUGCCAGGUGAAUAGGAGUACCCUUCACUCACGUGGCUGUGGUCUACUUAGAGGAUCCCAUCGUGAGGCAACUGGUGAUAAACGGUGCAGAUUUUUACGGCGUUGGUCCUACCUUGCUAGUUUAGAAACACCUUCUCUCGCUCUAAGGUGGAAUGUUUUUGACUAUUUUCAGGUCUGAGGUUUUUUUCUUGAAACUGGAAUUAAAUCAGGUAGGAAAGAAAUCCUAAGGAGUACGUGCUACAGCUGGGGUGUUUCCUCAGCAAACUUAGGUAUAAUUUUAAAUGGCACCUAAGAAAAGAAAGCAUUGCUCCAUUCCUUUUUUCCUUACAUGCAACUGAAGUUUCACACCAGAUCAGGUGACAAAAGGAGAAAGGAAUUGCUGACAUCUGAGAGCUGUUUUGAAGGUGUGACCUCUAGGAAAAGGUCUCGUGCAUUGCAAUUCCCAGAUUUCCUGUUCAGAUUUUUAAAAUAGCAACUCUUGAACUCAAACAGGACAAUCACAGAAUAGCCUUCCCUCGAUGGCACUCACCACAGAGACCCCAAGAAGGCUGUCGUGAAGCAAGACCCACAUGGUUAAAAAUGCCUGAGGACUGUUGCGUUUGUGUUUAUUUUCAGAACGCCUUUUUGAAGUACAUACGCACUCCUAGAUUCUAUCCUUUCUUUCUAGUCUCCCGUACCCAAAGAAAACAAAUCUA